This 253-nucleotide ribosomal RNA is filed under the name uncultured bacterium. RNAcentral's name for it is "partial 16S ribosomal RNA". It matches the Rfam family "Bacterial small subunit ribosomal RNA", at positions 83 to 339 of the family's 1533-position model. The record is from RNAcentral.
CUAGAGAGGAAAGUGGCGGACGGGUGAGUAAUAUGUAGAGAAUCUGCCCUUGAGAGGGGGACAACAGCUGGAAACGGUUGCUAAUACCCCAUAUGAGCGUACCUGAGAUGGUAUUCUUGAAAACUCUGGUGCUCAAGGAUGAGUCUGCAUCUGAUUAGCUAGUUGGCGGGGUAAUGGCCCACCAAGGCGACGAUCAGUAGCUGGUUUGAGAGGAUGAUCAGCCACAAUGGGACUGAGACACGGCCCAUACUCC